RNAcentral lists this ribosomal RNA (433 nucleotides) under uncultured bacterium. RNAcentral's name for it is "partial 16S ribosomal RNA". It matches the Rfam family "Bacterial small subunit ribosomal RNA", at positions 29 to 507 of the family's 1533-position model. The record is from RNAcentral.
AGCGAACGCUGGCGGCAGGCUUAACACAUGCAAGUCGAGCGGGCCUUUCGGGGUCAGCGGCGGACGGGUGAGUAACGCGUGGGAACGUGCCCUCUGGUUCGGAAUAACUCAGGGAAACUUGAGCUAAUACCGGAUACGCCCUUUUGGGGAAAGGCUUGCUGCCGGAGGAUCGGCCCGCGUCUGAUUAGCUGGUUGGUGAGGUAACGGCUCACCAAGGCGACGAUCAGUAGCUGGUCUGUGAGGAUGAUCAGCGACACUGGGACUGAGACACGGCCCAGACUCCUACGGGAGGCAGCAGUGGGGAAUAUUGGACAAUGGGCGCAAUCCUGAUCCAGCCAUGCCGCGUGAGUGAUGAAGGCCUUAGGGUUGUAAAGCUCUUUUAUCCGGGACGAUAAUGACGGUACCGGAGGAAUAAGCCCCGGCUAACUUCGUG